Esox lucius (northern pike) is the source of this 16504-nucleotide RNA transcript. It is a transcript of the gene named probable E3 ubiquitin-protein ligase HECTD4, with no coding region annotated. The record is from RefSeq and is a predicted model, not a curated record. The transcript is spliced from 77 exons. Lineage: Eukaryota; Metazoa; Chordata; Actinopteri; Esociformes; Esocidae.
UAUAAUAACAUGUUUAAAUGACCAGCAGUGUCAGUAAAUACAGAUGGGCUGUGAACAACGUCCUUAAGCAUUUCAGAUCCGUAACCACCAAGAUGGCACGUGUACGGCCGACUGGGCUAAACCACUAAGGUGAUACAAGGAUAGAACUUAGGAAAGCAAGUGGCCAGUGCAAAAAUCGGAGCUAGCAACAUCCUAUUGGGCACUAUUUAUGCGUUCUGGAGUUUUUCCAUUUGCAAACGCCUAUUAUGUGAAGUGCGCGUGUACAUAACUAAUACGGCCUGCACUACUGAAAAACGAUUAAAAAAGUAAACGCUGGCAAAGACUUAAAUCUGGAAAGAACGGUAGUGGGGUCUAAUGUUUCAUCGAUUAGUGUCGGACAGUCCUAUCUCUCUUCAUCGGUUUCCAAUAGCAGAUCACAUUGGGCUUUCUCUUUCUUCACUCAGUGGAGUGAUAACCGGAUGUUGAGAUGUAUACACGACGGUCUUCCAGAUCAGAGUAUAAAACAUACUCAGCAGGUGGCGCACGAGGACCUGUAACGGAGAGAGAGAUGGGCUCCGGGGCCGUGGAUUCGUCCCAGUGGCUCUCAGUGAAGGAAGAGACUAUUUUCCUUCACGAUGGACUUAUUCGGGUCACGGAUCUGGCUGAACUGCCUAGCGAAAUCGGGGUGUCUGAACAAGGAGACACUGAGCAGGAGAUCCUCACUUUCGAGACCAAGAACCCAGCCGAGCUGGCCGAGCGCCUCCGUGCCGUCUGUGGUAACCAAAGCAAUGCGUACGCCCGCUUGUUGGAGUACCGUCUGAAUGCACUGCGGGGCCUGUGGGGCGCUCAGCGUCAGCUGGCCCUGGAGGAGCAGCAGGACCGCGAGGGAGCUGGAGGGGGAGACGAGGAGGCCCUGGCUCUGCUAAAAAGACAGGGUCUACUGCAGCAGCCUGAACAAGCUCCUUUCACCUCCCGCGUGGGCCUGCUGCUGGUCUUCCCCCUGCUACAGUCCCAGACGCGCAGUGACCCGGCCCUCUGUGGGGUCACGGCAGAGGUGCUGCUGUCUUGCCUGCGUGACUGCCAGCCCCUCAGCCUCAGCAAGGAGCCCACCGACUGCCUCAAUGGCCUGGAGUGGCUGCUCUGCUCCUGGCUGGAGGAGAACCAGCAGGGACCGGCUCCAACAUGCACCCUUCAUGGACACAGGCAGAGGGAGAAUGCAGCAGCUGCCCUGGUAGCACUCGCCUGCGCCAGGGGAUCUCUAAAGACCUUCAUUCACACCAUUCACCUACUGCAGAAACAGACAGACCUGGGUCAACUCCCUGUGGCUGAUGUCCUCUACAGACUUCUGGUGCUUGAGGGGGGACCGGGCUCCCCGUCUUGUCUGCUGGGGGGCAAACACAGCGUCUCCUGGGGGUUUGAGGACAUGCUGCCAACACCUGACAGCAAUGCUGGAGGGGCGGAGAACAAAGACACAGACCUGGGCCGCUGCCUGGCCACAGAUGGACUCUAUCUCUACACCACUAACUCCUCUGGGAGAGGCCUCAGCAAGCUGGGUUCAGGUUUACACGGGACGCUGAGGGGGUUUGUGUACUGCAGGAAUGAGGAGUUGGAGCCUGGCUGGGUGGUGUUCAGCAGCGGGCGCCUCCUCCACCGCCCCGCCUCCUUUGAUGCCAAGCCUCAUCACCUGUGCCAGGUCAUCGACCCCUUCACUCUGCAGGUGUGCCAGAUUGUGCCCAUGCCGGCCCAGCACUUCCCUGUGGGCAGCAGCAUGACCACGCUACACCUGUGCUCCGAUGGAACGUACCUGUACUGGGUGUGGUCUCCUGCCAGCCUCAACGAGAAGACCCAGAAAGGCCACUCCGUCUUCAUGGAUGUCUUUCAGCUGUCGGUGGACACUGGGUUGUGUGUGGCGGACGGCCUGCAGGAGAGGGUGAUCCUGACCCGGAAGGAGGGGGAGUCUUCCAAGUGUUUGAACGAGCUGCUGCUGAGUCGCAUGUCACGCUUCCGCGCCUCCCAUUCAGCCACGCUGGCGGCUCUCACCGGCUCUGCCAUCACAAACACUGUGAAGGAGGAGCAGUCAGCGGUCAACACGAGCUGUGGCCUCCCUCUGAAGACUCUGAGGAAGACUCCCAUGUAUGUGUGUGGGACGUCACUAGUGAUGCUGGCGUCUCCUCCUGGCGUGUCUGGCAGCUCUGCCACGCGCUCCCUGUUUGGGGGCACCAGCGGCCUGUCCUCUCUGAAGAUCCUCUCCUCCAGUCUGGUGUUCAACCUGGCUGAUGGUCAGUUCAGCAGUCGGGUAGACCUCAUUGAUGCCCCCGGCAGUUCUCUGGGAAGGGGUGCCCAGGUAGCAGGUCUAGGAGCCUGCUACGACGCCCUCAACAACCUGAUCUGGACCUGCUCCAGUGACUACAUGGACCAGUGGUGUAACCCUGGCAAUCAGGCCUUCCAUCACGUGUGCCAUAGGCUUGGCGUCAGCCAUGUCAUCAAAGAACCCAAAGAGGAGACCGUGGCGACCGGGGAGGUAAUCAGCCAGCUUCUUCACCACGUCGGUGCCAUGUGCAUCCACCAGCUCAACCUGCUGGCAGCCAGCAGUAGCAGCCUGUCCCUGGGGGCCCUCCUGGGCAAGCAGCACCCCAUCGAGGCGCACCACUUCAGCAGCAUCUGUGACAUCAUGGAGAAGGCCAUGGUCAACGGGGACACCUGUGUCAUCCGCUGCCUCCUGGUGGUGUUCCAGGUGGUGUUCAGGUUCUUCAACCCUCAGUCGGAGCAGAACAGGGAGAGUGUGCGGCGUUCAGGUUUGCUCCUCUGGCAGCUGCUAAUGGCCCCUGUGGAUCAGAUUGGAGCAACCAUCCAGGGUGAAGUGUGUCUGGCUAUCAGCUCGGGGUUGAACACCUUGUAUCAGGGGGAGUCUGAACUCAACAACCUGCUGAAGCUGGUCCUGACUGAAGGGGAGAGGAACAUUGGUUUGUCUCAGCUCCGUGAUGCCAUCCUCACCAGCCUAGCUGACCAGCUGCAGAAAAAUAGAUUUGGAAGCGAUGAAGAUGACCACUACCGACUCAGUGACGAGCUCCUGCACUGUAUCCUGAAAACCGUUGUCCGUGAAUCCUGCCUUCUUAUCACCAAAUGUCAGACUGUCGCCAGAAACGACUUCCAGAAGCUUCUCUCUACUGUGCCAGUGGCAUCCUCGAGCCUGCGCUACCUCAUGGCCGUUCAGAACCACCUGCUUAGCAACACCGUCUUGAUCCGCCCCGACGACAACGAUGACAGUGACAACUCCCUACAAGGGGAAACAAUGAAGGUACAGGAGCUGCAGACCAGCAUCUUGUCUCUAGCCACCAAGAUUCUGAUGGGGUGUGACGAGGUUCUGGAGACCCUGCAGCAAGUGACCACUGCCCUUAUCAAUAGUGACAUCACUGACCGAGAGACCAGGCUGAAGGGCUUGGAGCAGAUUACCAAGGCUACCAUGCUAGGGCAUCUGCUGCCGGUGCUUCUCACCUCCCUGAUGCACCCCAACCUGCAGACGCUAACGCUGGCUGACGCCCUCAUGCCCCAGCUGGUGCAGCUGGUCCUCUACACCAGCCAGACUGCUCUCUUGCUGAAGACACAGAUGCCCCUCUUCAACGACGGCAAUCCACUGGGCCAAAAGGCACCUGCUGCUGAUGACGAUGAAAGAAUCCUUGAUGAGCGGGAGGAGCCAGGCUUUCUAACUGGCCUGAAGAUUCCUGCCCCAUGGGCUGCUGGGAAAACCGUGGAGACAGUCCACCCAGUGCGAGAUAACUAUAAGUUCAAAGAGACCGUACAUAUUCCCGGAGCACGCUGCCUGUACCUUCGCUUUGACUCGCGCUGCUCCUCGCAGUAUGACUACGACAAGUUGGUCAUCUAUGCCGGGCCCAACACUAACAGUCGCAAGGUGACUGAGUACGGAGGCAACACGCUGGGUUAUGGCAGUCGCAGUGUCCUGGGGACAGGAUGGCCCAAAGACCUGGUGAAGGUGGAGGGAGAUACAGUGACGUUCUCAUUUGAGAUGAGAAGUGGUCGCGAGCACAACACCCCUGAUAAAGCCAUGUGGGGUUUCUCCUGCACUGUGCGAGCCCAGGAAUCCUCAGAGGAUGUCUCUGGGGGGCUCCCCUUCCUGGCAGACCUGGCGUUGGGUCUGUCUGUGCUGGCGUGCUCUAUGCUCCGUAUCCUCUACAACGGACCUGAGGUAACAAGAGAAGAGGAUGCCUGCCAUGACCUGUUGUGCUCCAAGCUGCUCCAAAGGUGUCAGUGGCAGGUGGAGGCUAAUGGUGCCAUCUCUCCGGCCCUGACCCCUAGCCCCUCUCCGUUACCUCUCACCAUUGAGGAGGACCGGGAGUUCACCUACCCCGCGGAUGUCCUCCUCCCUCCCCCGGGCCUCAUGCCUGGGACCUACUUCGACCUGCCCCGGAUCCGCCUGCCUCCGGGCAUCAUGGGCCGGCUGCGAGAGGUUUCCGGUAGGGCGCGGCCACAGUUCCGUCCCAGCAUCAAGGAGGUAAUCCGGCCUGACGUUAUGGAGGAGGUCAUAGUGUCGUGUGUGAUAAAGCACCUGACUCUGGUGGACGCGCUCCAGUCUCUGGUCAACUUUCAGUACCGCGAGGAGCACGGUGAGGAGUACGACCUGCUCUGUAAGAUCAUGGCCGAGACCUUCAAGAAGAUCAACGCCAUGGAGCGUCAGCUGCAGAGUGUAGCGGAGCUGGAACAGAAGUGGCAGAACGAGAUGGAGGAGGCCCAGCAGGGAAAGCUGGAGAACAACGCUCCUUUCUUUCAUGACUAUCACUUCUUUGAGAACAAAAUGAAGGAACUAGAACUGCUGUGCUCAUUGAAGGAGGUCCCGUUGGACUGUAGCGAUUUGGAAAACGUUGUCCUCACACUGAGGGAGAAGUUCUUCCAAGAGGUGAACUCCAUCCACCUGAAGAGUGCUGUGUCCUUGGCUAAAACCAAAGCCCUGGUGAAGAGCUUGAUGAACCGCACAGAGCUUCUGCUCCACGUCACCAUUGCUCCUCACUGCAGGAGCCUGACCGCCACACCUGCAGGCACACCAGCCUGUAAGUCUGUGUCAGAUGCUAAGACUGUAGUCCCCGGGGUGAAGCAGCCAGUCUUCCUGCGCAGCAUGUCAGCACCAUCUGACCUCGAGAUGAUCGCCAACCAGGACCUGGAGUUCCCACACAGCAGCCAAAGGAGGCGACACCACCCAACCAGUCACCGUAGCAGCUCCUUCACCCUGCUGCAGUCUCUAGCUAUGGAAGACAGCCGGGACAAGCCUACGUACAGCGUCCUGCUGGGACAGCUCUUCGCAUUUAUAGGGACCACGCCUGACCAGUCUGUGUCCAGCAGCAGUUUCCUGUCUGCAGCUCAGACACGGUGGAGGCGGGGCAGCACCAGGAAGCAGGCCCUCAUUCACAUGAGAGAGCUUCUCACCGCCGCAGUCAGGGUGGGCGGAGUCACUCAUCUGGUGGGCCCUGUUACCAUGGUGCUGCAAGGAGGGCCUAGGAUCGAGGAGCUGACCUGUGGGGGGAUGGUGGAACAGGUGCAGGAGGUCUUUGGGGAGACCAUGACGUCUGUGGUGUCCCUGUGUGCCCGCUACCCCAUCGCUUGUGCUAACAGUAUAGGCAUGCUCUGCACCAUCCCCUAUACCAGGAGUGAGGAGCAGUGUCUGGUUCGCAGCGGUCUGGUCCAGCUGAUGGACCGGCUCUGCAGCCUGAGCGGCCAGAGGGACUGCAGCUCCAAUGAGAAGCAGACCAAGAAGCAGAAGGUGGCCACCAUGGCCUGGGCUGCCUUCCAGGUGCUGGCCAACCGCUGCAUUGAGUGGGAGAAGGUGGAAGGCGGUUCAACCGAUGCGGUGCACUCCGGUCUGGCCCGGCAGGUGUCCAGUCUGCUGACCAAUCACCUGGCCAGGGCCACGGAGUGCUGUGGGAACCAGGCGGCCGGGAACGAUGCUCUGCAGGACGUCCUCAGCCUGCUCAACGACCUGUCCAGGAGCCACAUAGGGAAGGCCAUCCUGAGCCAGCCGGCUUGCGUGUCCAAGCUCCUGUCCCUGCUGCUGGACCAGCGGCCCUCUCCCAAGCUGGUUCUGAUCAUCCUGCAGCUGUGCCGUGCCGCGCUGCCACUGAUGAGCGUGGAGGACUGUGGCAACGUGGCCCUGCCCUCCUGGAGCUACUCCAUCAACACCCUGGACGCCGAGCAGCAGGACGCUGGCGACCCCGCCUCGCGCAUCGCCGCCUUGCUCUUGGCCAAGCUGGCUGACUACGUGGUACCAGGUUGCCAGACUCUGCUGUCUCCCAGCUCCUCAGAGCCGGACACCAGCCUGAGCCGCGCCAGCCCCAAGGGCACCCUGAAGCCUGACAAGGAUUGUGGCGAGGAGGGCGAGGCUGUGGAUGGCAAACUGUCCAUCUUCAUCCACAAGAGGGAGGACCAGUCGUCCCACGAGGUACUGCAGCCUCUGCUCAGCAGCUCAGAGGGCCGGCCGUUCCGCCUUGGGACUGGAGCCAACAUGGAGAAGGUGGUGAAGAUGGACAGAGACAUGACCAAGAGUGGGAGUUGUGAGGUGAUCACGGAGGAGGCCGCGGCUGCCCUGAGGAAGGCCAGUAAGUGGGCCCAGUCGGGACUGAUAGUGAGUGUGGGCCCGCCUAUGGAGGCUCUGGCCCAGGAGGCAGCAGGAGGUGUCACCACCGGGGACAAGAAGAAGACUGCCCAGACGGCUGUGUGUCGGGAUAGAAACUCGGAGCUGGCCAGGUCCGACCCAAUCCGGCCCUUCAUCAGUGGACAUGUGGCCAACAGUAUGGCGGCUGAGGUCAUCGCCCUGCUCCACAGUCUCCUCACAGCACCCGAAUCCAACACGGCCCAGAUCUGGACCAGCACUGCGGAGAAGGUGCUGUCCAGGGCCCUGAUGUUUAUCCCUCAGCUUGGGAAGUAUGCUGAGAGCAUCCUGGAGAAUGGCAGCAGCAGUGGCAGGAAGCUGGCUAAACUCCAGGCCAUCGGCAGGCAGGCUGUGGCAGCACUCUGCGCUCUUGGAGGCUUUAAGGAGACCAUCAAGAUUGGCUCAGAAGUUCAGGUGAUGGGUAAAGGAGUGCUGGGCAGUGUUGGCGUGGUUAUGUCCAUCAAUGAGCAGGAGGGCAUCGCCACAGUGAAGUUCCCUUCCUGUGAGUACAGGAAGGCCUGCAAGGCCUCCGACAUCCUGACGGUGCCCAUCUCCCGGCUCUGCACUCCCCGCUCUGAAGCUCUGCCGCUCUACAAGCUGUCUAUCACAGAGAAGGUUGUCCAAGCUGUACAGUCCAUGCUUCUGCCCCAGGAGGGUAGUCUGUCCAUCCACACCUCCCUUCCUGCUUCAGGAGACGGCUCCAGUCCUGUCAUGGCCGCUGUCCGGCUGCUGGCCGAAAUCAGGACCAGGGCCUGUCUGGUGAUGGCCCAGCUCCUGGAGGACAGCUCGUUCUGUGAGGAGUUCAUUCAGCAGUGUCCUGCCGCUGUGGAGGUCCUCAACCUAGUGGCCCAGGAGUGCAGCCCAGGGGAGCGUCUUGGCAUGGUUGAGGCCCAGUGUGAGCGUGUGAGGAUGCUGUACAGAGACUGCGCUCGCCCGCCACCGCCUCCACUCCAGACAGACAGGCGCCAGCCCAAGGAGAUUACGUGGUGUCCCUCCAGGGUGUUCCCUCCAGUCCGCGCCUGCAUGUUCUCCUCCCGCCUCACCUCUGUCACCUUCCUGGCCGACCCCAGCGCUGGAGGAGGCCUCCCCAGGGGAACCUUCAUCUACGCUACCUCUCCUGUACCUGUCCAGGCUCCUUCCUUCUACUGGGAGAUUGAGAUCGUCUCCUAUGGAGACUCAGAAGACGACAGCGGUCCCAUCGUUUCCUUCGGCUUUGCCACAGAGGCAGAGAAGAGAGAUGGAGCGUGGACCAACCCAGUUGGCACCUGUCUCUUCCACAAUAAUGGUCGGGCAGUGCAUUAUAAUGGCACCAGCCUGCUGCAGUGGAAGAGUGUGAGGUUGGACGUGGGCCUACUUCCUGGGGAUGUGGCAGGCAUUGGGUGGGAGCGAUCUGAGAGCACCCCUCCGCCCCCCGGCCAGGCCCCUAAAGGACGCGUCUACUUCACCUACUGCGGCCAGCGCCUCAGCCCCUUCCUGGAGGACGUAGCGGGGGGGAUGUGGCCAUUGGUGCACAUUCAAAAGAAGAACACAAAGAUUCGUGCCAACUUUGGUUGCCGGGCCUUCGCGUACGCUGAGGGCCAAGCGCACCGCAACGCCGCUGACCUCUGUGUUGACCUGGCCGAAGAAAUCAGCGCUAACUUUGAGGCCCUCCCAUUUGCCAUGGCAUCGGACAGUGACAACGAUGCAGGUGCUAGUGUGGCGUCUGACUCCGGCUCCCAUGGACCCCCCUGUCGGAUUGCUGCUGUAGCGGUUGCCCAGCAACAGUACAACAGCGACAUGUCCUGCCACUACAAGAUGGAGCUGAGCUACGAGGACCUGGUCACCUCAGGGCCUGCCGCCCACCCUCCGCCCAUCGCCGACGACGAGAGUGAUGACGAAGAUGACGACGAUGUGCCCAGGGAGGAUCACUACGCCCUGCUGGUGAAGGCCUGGGAGACCAAGGUGUUCCCCACCAUCCGCCGACGGUUUCGCAACGAAGCAGAGAGGAAGUCUGGCCUGGACCAGAUCAAGGGAGCACUGCAGCUUGGCAUGGUUGACAUUGCCCGGCAGACCGUGGAGUUCCUGUAUGAAGAGAAUGGGGGAAUCCCCCGGGACCUCUACCUCCCCACUAUUGAGGACAUCAAGGAAGAGGCCAACAAGUUCACCAUCGACAAAGUCCGCAAAGGUUUGACCGUGGUCAUCCGCUGUCCUGACAGUAACAACACCAACAGCACUACAGGCGGAACAGCCCUGCCCAAGUUUGCCAUCCGAGGCAUGUUGAAGACCUUCGGCCUGCACGGAGUUGUCCUGGACGUGGAAUCGGUCAACGAGCUAGUGCAGGUGGAGACGUAUCUUCGGAGUGAAGGGGUGCUGGUGAGGUACUGGUACCCCAUUGAGAUGCUGGAGCGCCCCCCCGCCGGCUCCCGUCGCACCGCUGCCAAUGGCCUGGUCAAUCUGGACAGCAGUAACAUCCAGAUCCACAGGGAGCUUCUGCGCUGUGAGAGUGCCCUGGCUCGGCUCUACUGCCGCAUGGCUCUGCUCAAUAUCUUCGCCCCCAAGAACCCCCACACCUUCACACGCCUCUUCCACAUCCCAGCCAUCAGAGACAUCACUUUGGAACACCUGCAGCUGCUGUCCAAUCAGCUGCUGGCCCCGCCUCUGCCUGAUGGCACCAUCAGCUCCAGCUCCAUCCUGCUGGCCCAGUCUCUACUCCACAAGCUGCAGGGCCAGAGCUGCUCUCCCACAGACCUGUUCUACCAGGGCAACGCACAGCCCAUCCGGGAGUGGCUGACCGUGGCCAUCACCCGGGCCCUUCACCAGGGGGAGGACAGCCUGCUGGAGCUGACCAAGCAGAUUUGCUGCUUCCUUCAGAAUGCACCGGAACAGUUUACUUCAGAGGACUUCCCGGUAUCCGAGUCAAAGGUCAGCAUGGAUGUCAGCUUUCCGGGUGCUGCGUUCGUGAUCGUGUCCUGCAAAGAGAGCCAACUCGGCUGCCGCAAAGACUCCUCCCUGUACAAAGCCCCGUGGGCACGGGUCAUGGUUUAUGGCCUGGGCCACAAGGUCCGCAGGAACGGCCAGCUCAACCUGAUGGAGGCGGCACGUUACCCUCUGGACGCCUCGCCCUCCAACACUGGCCUCACCCCCCCUCCCACCACCAACCAGUACCCCACAGUCAUCAUCCCCACGGACAAAGUGCACAUUAAACUGGGAGUGUCGCCCCCUCCUGGUGCUGUGCUGGUGCUGCACUCCCUGCCGCUGGAGUUCCCCCUGGCAAUGGCGUUUGUCGAGCAGCUGCUGACGUGGAAGCUGGGGGAGGGCAGUGAGCGCUCUGAGGAGGAGCUGGACACUGUGCCAUCGUCUGUUCUGCUGCAGGUGGUGGAGCUGCUGGGUGGGCUUUUAUGGACCACCGAUCUGGCUCCCUGUAUCAAAGAACUGUCCUUCCACCUGCUGGCCGAGCUCUUCCGUAAGAUCCACCUUCUGGAGCAGCGAAGGAGCCCUGCCGGCCUGUCCAGCUCUAUUGCCCUGCUACUCAACCCCUGCCUGGCUGUUCUCAUGGCCCUGCAGACUGAACUCCGGAAGCUGUAUGACCGGGAGACCCAGGGCUGGGCGACUGCUGGUGCUGGAACCGGGGCCUCGUCCUCGGGUGGUGGUGCCCUGGCCCUGGGGGCUGAGCAGUGCCGCUUCUCCACCUACUUUCAUGCCCUGAUGGAGGUGUGCCUGGCUGUAGCUGAGGUCACCCUGCCUCUGAACGUGGGCUGCUCUGGCGUGGGAACCCUGUCCUCCACCAGUGCCCCCAACCUCAGCGACUCCUCCUCGUCCUCCUCGUCCUCCCUGGGCCAGACACCCCAGAGCCCCAGCCUGCUCUCCAAGCGGAAGAAGGUGAAGAUGAAGCGGGAGCGUGCUGCCGCAGUGGCGGCGGCGGUCUCUGGGAAGAGGGGCUCGGGCGGAGGGGCUCGCCUCUCCGAGAGCGACAGCGCCCUUCUCAACAUGGCCGGCGGUAAGCCCGAGGACAUGCUGUGGUUCCACCGUGGCCUCACUCUGCUCAUGAUCCUGCGCCACCUGGCCAACAAGGACCCCCAGGGGCUGAGCGUGACCAGUGACGCCGUCACGGACGCCAGCCAGGCCCUGGUGGGACCCACCGCUCACAGCCGGCUGCUGGUUCUCUCGGGCAUCCCCACCCACCUGGAGGAGGCCGCGGUGCGCAGUGCCAUCCGCCGGGCCUGCAACGCCCACGGGGGGCUGUUCAAGGACGAGGUCUUCAUCCCCCUGCAGGAGGAGGACCCCAAGAAGUCGAAAGCCGGCGUUUCCGCCUCCCUGGACAGCAAAGCCGGCGUUGGCCCCGAGCGGGCGUUCCCAGGCAACGGGGGAACCGACAGCCCGGACAGCUCCAGCAGCGUGACCCCGGCCAUGAGCGUCUCGGCUUCGGCCUCCACCAGCCAGACCUCCAUCUGCAGCUCCUCCCAGGGUGGUGUGUCCCGCACCGCCAGUGAGCUGUCUGUAGACCAGGAGCUUCUGGCGGCCCCGCCUCUGACCCCCUUGGCCACGGCGUUGACCGCUCCCUCCCCACAGCAGGGCCCCCUGGAUCCCCACACGGUGUCCAGCCAGGAGAGCCUGGACAUCUCCCUGUGCAGCACCGGGAGCCUGGGCAGUCUGGGCAGCCUGGGGGAGCCUCUGGACAGCGCGGAAACAGCCUCGGUGUCUGAGGGGGGCUCUAUGUACACCGUCACCUCCCUGGAGAACAACCCCGCCUUGGCCCGGCCCAUCAAGGGCUAUGCCGUCAUAGAGGUCCGCGCCCGGGCCAAAGUGGAGAAGAUCCGUGCCAGCCUCUUCAACAGCAGUGACCUAAUAGGCUUAUCCAGCCUGGAGGCUGAGGACGAGCUGAUGGAACUGACCAAUGAGGAGAUCCUCACGGCCUCCAGCGUCAACCAAAGCCUGUUUGACACACAGGGUAGCUCCGCCCUCGAGGACUACUUCCUGGACAAGUCUCUCAGAGGGGACAAGUUGGUGCCAAGUGCGCGAGAUGUCCUGACGGACAUCUUCAAGAGUUGCGUCCACUCAGAGCAGAUGCUGAGCCUCACCCCAGCUAAGCCUGUCAAAGUCUCUGACAUCUACCUGAGCAAGGAACAGAUCAACUCCCAGACCCCUGGAAACCUUCUCCAUGUCUUCUUCACUAGCAUACGAGCACCUAAGAAGAUGCUUGAGGACCAGCUGACGCAGGUCCUGCGGAAGUAUGGCGCGCCCAAGCCCAACAAGAACAAGUACAGUAAGGCUGGUAAGGAGCAGCAUGCGGGCAAGGUGGUGAGCACCAAGAGGCCUAUCACCAAGCCACCCACCAAGGAGAAGUCUGUCCUCAACAGCGUCCGGACUGCACUGAGUGAGAAGAAAACUGUCUUGAAGCCUAAGUCCCCUGACAAACCCAGGCCUGAUGAAAAAGACACUGAGAAAUCUCCUGCCAAGAAGCCUGAAGUCCAAGAGGAGAAGUACCUAACUUUGGAAGGCUUCCAUAAGUUUGCUGUGGACCGAGCUAAGCAGGACAUCCGUAGUGUGUGGAGGGCCAUUCUGGCCUGCGGUUAUGACCUCCACUUAGAAAGGUGUACCUGUAUAGACACCCGUCACGCCCAGAAGGCCUGUAGGCGGUGGACUCUGGAGAUGGACGUAGCGUUGGUUCAGUACAUUAACAGGCUGUGCGGUCACCUGGCCAUCACACCGGCCAGGCUGCACCCCCAUGAGUUGUACCUGGACCCCAGCGACGCCGCUGACCCCCGCGUGGCCUGCCUCCUCAAUGUUCCUGUGGAGAACCUGCGUCUGCGGUUUGCCCUCCUGCAGUCUCUGAACAACACCCUGGAGAGUUUCUUCCUGCCUCUGGUGGAGCUGAGACAAACCCACACCUACCAGAACAGCAUCGCAGCGCUGCUCCGCGGGGCCAAAGGCCUGGUGUUCUACGACACCAAAGUGAUAGUGAUGAAUCAGGUGCUGAACGCCACGGUGCAGCGCACCGCCGACCACGCCGCCCCAGAGAUCACCCUGGACCCCUUGGAGAUUGUGGGAGGCGAGAUCCGAUCUUCAGAGAACACCUACUUUUGCCAGGCAGCGCGCCAGCUGGCCUGCGUUCCCUCGUCCCAGCUGUGUGUGAAGCUGGCCAGUGGAGGAGACCCCACCUACUCCUUCAACAUCCGCUUCACUGGAGAGGAGGUCCACGGAACCAGCGGCUCCUUCCGUCACUUCCUGUGGCAGGUGUGCAAGGAACUCCAGAGCUCCGCCCUCUCCCUGCUGCUCCCUUGCCCCAGUGCAGCAGCCAAUCGUAACAAGGGGAAGUAUAUCCUGACGCCCUCUCCGAUCAGCUACGCGGAGGAGCAGUUGCUGCACUUCUUCGGCCAGCUGUUGGGGAUCGGCAUUCGGGCUGACGUUCCCCUGCCCCUGGACCUGCUGGGCUCCUUCUGGAAGGGCCUGGUGGGGGAGCCCCUGGACCCAGAGCAGGACCUCCAGGAGGCCGACCUUCUCACAUACAACUACGUCAAGAAGUUUGAGAGCGUGAGUGAGGAGGAGGAUUUGGAGGCUCUGUGUGCUGAGAUGUCAUCCCAGCACCACUCGGGAGAGAGUCCCGACUCCCCCAGCCAGCCUUGCUGCACCUUCACCUACAUCACCAUGACCGGAGAGGAGGUGGAGCUGUGUCAGGGGGGACGCAACCUCUGUGUCAGCUGGGAGAAUAAAGAUGUGUAUGCACGGGCGGUACGAGGCCUGCGCCUGCGGGAGCUACAGAACGUGGAGUGUAUGACGGCGGUGCGAGCCGGCCUGGGCUCCAUCAUCCCCCUGCAGCUGCUCACCAUGCUCAGCCCACAAGAGGUGGAGCUACGGACCUGCGGCCUGCCCUACAUCAACCUGGAGUUCCUCAAGGCCCACACCAUGUACCAGGUGGGGCUGAUGGAGACGGACCAGCACAUUGAGUUCUUCUGGACGGCCUUGGAGAUGUUCACCCAGGAGGAGCUUUGCAAGUUCAUCAAGUUUGCCUGCAACCAGGAGCGCAUCCCCUUCACCUGUCCCUGCAAGGACGGCGGCCCAGACACCGCCCAUGUACCCCCGUACCCCAUGAAAAUUGCCCCUCCGGACGGGGCGGCAGGUUUACCAGACUCUCGCUACAUUAGGGUAGAGACCUGUUUGUUCAUGGUGAAGCUGCCCCAGUACAGCUCCCUGGAUGUGAUGCUGGAGAAGCUGCGCUACGCCAUCCACUACCGCGAAGACCCUCUUAGCGGCUAAAGGGACCUGGUAGAGGAAAUACCAUCUCCAUGUGCUUCAACAUCAACCUCAUUAUUCAUUACCCUUCCAACCCCAGCCUCUCCUCCUUACCCCUGACCACAUUGACCAUGUCCCCCUCUUGGACUUUAGCUGGGACUUACCCACAUAACGGAAGGCCAACCUGCUUCACCGAUAAGCCACUGAAGCUUUUCUGUUUUCUGCUUGUUAUGUGUUCGGCUUUGUUCCAGCACCUCUUUUAAAUAACAUUGUAAUCAGGUUGAGCAUUUCAGGAGUGCGUUUUGACUACUGUUUUCAGAGCUGAUGUAUGGGAGCCCCACUUGCCUUGACACUGACUGGUGUCUUUUCUGGUUGCACUGAGUUUAGGAAUGACCAUGACGUGACUCUUUCAUCCGUACACUCACAGUAGGAGGGAGCUGUGACAGGGCGCACAAUCUUUUUUUAGGGACAGUUACUCUGUCUUCCACCUUAUUUCUCCCUCUCUUUCAGAAGUCCUUACGGUUUCCUUCCCGCUCGCUUUCAUAGGAAUCUCUCUCAGUGGUCCUCAGCAUUGAGCCAGGGGGACCUGGAGUAGUGCUGUUUUUCAUUUUAGCCCUCUAAUCAGGAGCUGAUUUAGACCUGGGACCCCGGAUGAAUGCAGUUAACUACCAGUGAAACAGUUGUUGUGUGAGUAAAACCGCCAUAUGACUUGGAUGGGACUUGAAGAACACAACGAGAGCUACCACAAAAUAUUUAAGUUGGCCGUUUUCUAUUGCUUUCUGAUUUAGUUAUCUUUAUGUUCUUUAAAGGGGAUACCGCUGCUAACAAGGACGCUCUCUCCUUCUGUUCCUACCUCCUGCAGGAGUAGAAGAGAACAUUAAGGACAUAUCCGUACAAAGAGAUGUUGCGAUAAGAAAAUGUGUGUAUUUACUUGAUAUUUAUUACAAUUAUUUAUGGUUGCAUUAACUUAACUUUUACUGUGUUACUUCUGCACAUUAGAAACUUAACACAGAUCUCUAAAAAUGGAUUAUACAGAGGUAAAGAAUAAGAUGGGGUUUAAGAUUUCUGUGUCACAAUAAAAAAAUGUCUUGAUGUAAGCCUGUUGUCCGCUAACUUCUUUUGUAAAGAUGCUCAGGAAAAACACAAAAAGCUAAACAUACAGGCAGUGGACUACAUGCCACCAGUAAACACAAUCUCCUGACAAGAGGAGAAAGCCCUGGUACAAUAAUGCAUGGAGACUGUUUCUCACCAUAUGCUCACAGGGAGGCCUACAGAAGUCAGUUUUUCAUUGUCUUUUAUUCCCCAUUAGUUUCUUUCCCCCAGCUAGAUUCACUAAUGUAAAAUAUCUGACAAUUUAAAAUGUCUUUUAAAAGUUUACAAACUGUAAAUAGUUUUUACUCAAACCAAAUGGUGAGAGAAGUAUUGUGUCCACGCAAUUUGACCGUCUUUGUUUGGAUGUGUUUGCUGUGUGUCGGACAUCUUCACGUUAAAUCAACUGCUGUAAGAAGUUAAAGGACCUGGCUCAACCAUUGUGAAAGUUGGUGCUGACCAUGAAACCGUAAGCUGGCAGCUCUGAUUACUUAUUUCUAUCUCUUGGCUGGGUGUAAGGGCCCUAGGCCCCGAACUUGUCACAUCACCCAAGUCUGCUAUUUAAACCAGGCACCUUUUCAAAGCAGUAGGUGCAAGCCAGUUCCAGCUGGAUCUGUGCCUGUUUUCAGUCACCCCACACCGCCACUCCACCCUGGUAUGUUACCAUGUGUGCCAUGUCACAUGCUAUAUAUAGCUUAGACUGCGUGUAUCUUGGGAUGCAUGUGAAAAAUUAAGAGAAUGUUUUGUGAUGGGGUUUUUGUACAAAAUCAGCCCCAGGUAUUAGAAGUAGCUCACAGUACAUCAUGCAUUUCACUUGAUAUAGCGGGAUGAAAGACUGUCAGAUAAAUAAGGAUGCAUUCAUUUAUAUUCCAUAUUAUGGAGUCGGAACACACAGGAAGUGCUAAUGUAGUCAACUGGGUGAGACUUCUAACCUCAUUGGAAUUCCCUCCUGAUGACCUGGGGGGAGUCCUGUCAAACAAGGUCAUCAGUAGUAAUCAGCCAAUUAAAUAACCCAAAUAGCUGUGCAUAUCAAUCUCGAACAACUUUGGUGAUACAGACGGGUGACAAAUGAAAGGAAAAAUCAACAAGAAGUUAAGGAGCUGCCAGAACAUUUUCAAUGCUCCUUGGCGUAGAUUCUACAGUAUGAGUCUCUGGAACUCAACUGGAAGUUGAAACGCCAUUCUUCCAAAGAUGUUGUCUCAUUUGGUGUUUUGAUGGUGGUGGCGGAGAGCCAAAUUUCCCAUAGGUGUUCAACUGGGUUGAGAUCUGGGGACUGCGAAGGCCAUAGCAUAAGAUUCACCUCAUUUUCAUACUCAUCAAACCAUUCAAUGCCCCUCUGGUGCCCUGUGUAUGGGGACAUUGUCAUAUUGGAAGAGACCCAAUAAUGUACCUUCUUCCAAAUUAGAUUCUUUCCUCUUGACAUCUUGAUCCUUAGCUGGGCCUGCUCAGCAUUUUUAUACAUGCCACAGAGCAUAAUAUUUUAAUUGCUGUGGAAGGAUCUGCAUUUGUUGUGUUCCUCCAGUCCUUUAUUGAAAUUUAUCCUUCAAUUUGUUAUGUUGCAUUAUGAAUUGC